Long non-coding RNA from Phacochoerus africanus (Common warthog), 1018 nucleotides. RefSeq lists it as uncharacterized. NCBI's taxonomy places the organism in Eukaryota, Metazoa, Chordata, Mammalia, Artiodactyla, Suidae. The transcript is spliced from 3 exons. The record is from RefSeq and is a predicted model, not a curated record.
UCCCUUCCCUCUGCCUCUUUGUAGAAAUUUUUUUAUUCCUCUCUAAAGCUAGAUCAGAAGAGAGUGGAGGGUUCAUCCAGAAUCAGGGAUUAGCAUAGAAUCAGAAUAGUAGAACUGAGUGGGAACUCAAAGAUCUGGGCUACUCAGCUUCUUUUACAGCCAUACCUAACGUCACAAAAUUGGUUGGUUGCAGAUCUAAGACUCAAGCCUGUAUCUACCCACAUUCCAGGUUUUCCUCACUGCAGUGCUCUGUAAUGAAGAGACCAGGAAGACAGUUGUGCCUUACUCCCCUCCCUCUCUCCCUUGGUACCUCUACAUAGUGCUUCGGAGUGCCAGGCCAGGCAUGUGAGGAUGCAGAGGCUCAGACCUUGAUCUUGGCAGGGAUGAAAGGGCUAGGGAAGGAGAUCCGCCCACGCGGAGAAGGCACCUGCUCCCCAAUGUGGAGAUUUUGAACUAGAGGGUAUAAGAGAAACACAACAAUGCCCAGCGCCGUGCCGGCCCACUGGCAUGUGGAAACUCUACGAUAUUUGCAGAACAAAUGUGUGUGCUGGCAAGGGGAUGAGGAUGGGGCGACGAGGUUGGACAGAUAAAAGCGGGCUAGCUAUUGCCACCUGCAGUUUCUUUGCUCGGAAGGCAGAAGAAACCAUGAGAAGCCUGUCAUGGUGGACUUCUUGAUCUGCCUAGGAAGAAAGAUGUGGUCAUUAUGUGGAAGCACCACAAAUUCUUGGGGCUGGAAAGUACAGAAGAGUCCUGUGUCUGCAACCUUACUGCUCACUCUGGUCACCACUGGACUCUUCCACCCCCUGGUGUUUGGUCGUCAUAAUAAUCCCUCACAUUCAUCUUGUCUUAUUCACACUCCCAAAAAAGCCUAUGAAGAAAGAAAAAGAAAAAGAAAAAAAAGCCUGCUCUUAUGGCACUGUGCAAUUCACUAAGGAAGCAAAGGUGUCUGGGAAGCUCUUGGGAGAGAUGAAUAUAAACUACCAGACGGAGUUCCCAUCGUUGCUCGGUGGUAAGGAAA